CCUUCGGGAUGAUUUGUUGGAUGCUAGCGGCGGAUGGGUGAGUAACACGUGGGCAAUCUGCCCUAAAGACUGGGAUACCACUUGGAAACAGGUGCUAAUACCGGAUAACAACAUGAAUCGCAUGAUUCAAGUUUGAAAGGCGGCGCAAGCUGUCACUUUAGGAUGAGCCCGCGGCGCAUUAGCUAGUUGGUGGGGUAAAGGCCUACCAAGGCAAUGAUGCGUAGCCGAGUUGAGAGACUGAUCGGCCACAUUGGGACUGAGACACGGCCCAAACUCCUACGGGAGGCAGCAGUAGGGAAUCUUCCACAAUGGACGCAAGUCUGAUGGAGCAACGCCGCGUGAGUGAAGAAGGUUUUCGGAUCGUAAAGCUCUGUUGUUGGUGAAGAAGGAUAGAGGCAGUAACUGGUCUUUAUUUGACGGUAAUCAACCAGAAAGUCACGGCUAACUACGUGCCAGCAGCCGCGGUAAUACGUAGGUGGCAAGCGUUGUCCGGAUUUAUUGGGCGUAAAGCGAGCGCAGGCGGAAUGAUAAGUCUGAUGUGAAAGCCCACGGCUCAACCGUGGAACUGCAUCGGAAACUGUCAUUCUUGAGUGCAGAAGAGGAGAGUGGAAUUCCAUGUGUAGCGGUGGAAUGCGUAGAUAUAUGGAAGAACACCAGUGGCGAAGGCGGCUCUCUGGUCUGCAACUGACGCUGAGGCUCGAAAGCAUGGGUAGCGAACAGGAUUAGAUACCCUGGUAGUCCAUGCCGUAAACGAUGAGCGCUAGGUGUUGGGGAC
RNAcentral lists this ribosomal RNA (775 nucleotides) under Lactobacillus delbrueckii subsp. bulgaricus. Its description in RNAcentral is "bacterial SSU rRNA". It matches the Rfam family "Bacterial small subunit ribosomal RNA", at positions 70 to 830 of the family's 1533-position model. The record is from RNAcentral. Lineage: Bacteria; Bacillati; Bacillota; Bacilli; Lactobacillales; Lactobacillaceae.